This 103-nucleotide small nuclear RNA is filed under the name Aotus nancymaae (Ma's night monkey). Lineage: Eukaryota; Metazoa; Chordata; Mammalia; Primates; Aotidae. The record is from RNAcentral.
GUGCUCACUUUGGUAGCACAUAUACUAAACUGGAACAAUAGAGAGAUUAGCAUGGCCCCUGCACAAGGAUGACACAUAAAUUCAUGAAGCAUUCCAUAAAUAU